GACGAACGCUGGCGGCGUGCCUAAUACAUGCAAGUUGAGCGCUGAAGGUUGGUACUUGUACCGACUGGAUGAACAGCGAACGGGUGAGUAACGCGUGGGGAAUCUGCCUUUGAGCGGGGGACAACAUUUGGAAACGAAUGCUAAUACCGCAUAACAACUUUAAACACAAGUUUUAAGUUUGAAAGAUGCAAUUGCAUCACUCAAAGAUGAUCCCGCGUUGUAUUAGCUAGUUGGUGAGGUAAAGGCUCACCAAGGCGAUGAUACAUAGCCGACCUGAGAGGGUGAUCGGCCACAUUGGGACUGCGACACGGCCCAAACUCCUACGGGAGGCAGCAGUAGGGAAUCUUCGGCAAUGGACGAAAGUCUGACCGAGCAACGCCGCGUGAGUGAAGAAGGUUUUCGGAUCGUAAAACUCUGUUGGUAGAGAAGAACGUUGGUGAGAGUGGAAAGCUCAUCAAGUGACGGUAACUACCCAGAAAGGGACGGCUAACUACGUGCCAGCAGCCGCGGUAA
Molecule: ribosomal RNA, 513 nt
Filed under: uncultured bacterium
Lineage: Bacteria
Description: partial 16S ribosomal RNA
Rfam family: Bacterial small subunit ribosomal RNA
Source: RNAcentral